RNAcentral lists this ribosomal RNA (274 nucleotides) under uncultured bacterium. RNAcentral's name for it is "partial 16S ribosomal RNA". It matches the Rfam family "Archaeal small subunit ribosomal RNA", at positions 473 to 747 of the family's 1478-position model. The record is from RNAcentral.
AAACCAGCACCUCAAGUGGUCAGGAUGAUUAUUGGGCCUAAAGCAUCCGUAGCCUGCCCUGUAAGUUUUCGGUUAAAUCUGUACGCUCAACGUACAGGCUGCCGGGAAUACUGCAGGGCUAGGGAGUGGGAGAGGUAGACGGUACUCGGGAGGAAGUGGUAAAAUGCUUUGAUCUCUCGAUGACCACCUGUGGCGAAGGCGGUCUACCAGAACACGUCCGACGGUGAGGGAUGAAAGCUGGGGGAGCAAACCGGAUUAGAAACCCCGGUAGUCC